Molecule: long non-coding RNA, 747 nt
Filed under: Homo sapiens (human)
Lineage: Eukaryota; Metazoa; Chordata; Mammalia; Primates; Hominidae
Description: non-protein coding LINC01524:10
Source: RNAcentral
AGUGCUGGCGCAAGUCGUCUUGCGCCAGGCGACUGGGUCUGAGGAGGCAGGAGUUAUUCAUUCCCUUAAGCUUUCAGGCCGGGGGGAGAAUCUUUCAGGUGGUAGCUGCAAGAACUCUUAGUAUGUUGACCUCACCUCUGCCUUCCACAUACCACUACCAGUGAGGAAUUAGGAAUGCAUGAGAAGAGUGUCCAAGAAGAGUGUCCUCAUUCAUGCAAGGCUUAAGAGAGAAUGCAGGUCAACAUCACCAUGUCAAUCAGAGAAUACUUCUGUUGGGUUGAAUGACUCUCUGCCCCCAGUCUGACUGGUUGGAAGAGGCCCUUUUCCCAGCCUUUGUGAAAGAGAUCUUCAUGUAAACAGAGUCCCUCUUAUUGGCUGAAGUGAAGAGUCAUUCUGAGGCAUCUCAAGAUGAAGGUUUCCUAUUUGUGAUUAUGAAAAAAAUGUCAAGAACAAGUCCCUUGGUGUUCUUAGACCAAAGUCAGAACAACAGACCUAGUCAAGAGGAACAGCAUCGAUUGUUAAUAUGCUGUCUGCUUUCAACCCCCAAAGGAUUAUUUUCAGAAUGAAAUGAUCUGUGGUCUUUAAGGGGUGGGGAUGGGAGGAGCUGAAGAACUCUCGAUCCUUCGAAGAGGUCCCAGUGGACUUGAUUUCUCAGUGGAAACAGAGGGAUUUCCUUCUGCAGUGGGAAAGAGACACGAAGUGAUAAACCGAGCACCCUCUUUGAAGAUUUCCCAGUAUAUUUGUCCC